RNAcentral lists this ribosomal RNA (464 nucleotides) under uncultured bacterium. RNAcentral describes it as "SSU rRNA". It matches the Rfam family "Bacterial small subunit ribosomal RNA", at positions 26 to 518 of the family's 1533-position model. The record is from RNAcentral.
AGAACGAACGCUGGCGGCAUGCCUAACACAUGCAAGUCGAACGCUCCUGGGGCUUCGGUCUCAGGGGAGUGGCGCACGGGUGAGUAGCGCGUGGGAACCUGCCCUGUUGUGGGGGAUAACCGAGGGAAACUUCGGCUAAUACCGCAUACGCCCGGGGGAAACUCCGGGGAAAGAUUUAUCGCAGCAGGAGGGGCCCGCGUCGGAUUAGGUAGUUGGUGGGGUAACGGCCCACCAAGCCUGUGAUCCGUAGCUGGUCUGAGAGGAUGAUCAGCCACACUGGGACUGAGACACGGCCCAGACUCCUACGGGAGGCAGCAGUGGGGAAUAUUGGACAAUGGGCGCAAGCCUGAUCCAGCAAUGCCGCGUGAGUGAUGAAGGCCUUCGGGUUGUAAAGCUCUUUCGCACGCGACGAUGAUGACGGUAGCGUGAGAAGAAGCCCCGGCUAACUUCGUGCCAGCAGCCGC